This 220-nucleotide unclassified non-coding RNA is filed under the name Hevea brasiliensis (rubber tree). The record is from RNAcentral. Lineage: Eukaryota; Viridiplantae; Streptophyta; Magnoliopsida; Malpighiales; Euphorbiaceae.
UCACACAAGUCUAGCUUAGCCUGCCUAGUAUCAACCACGUGUGCUAGGUAAGCUUCACAGCCUUUUCUCAUCAAUCUUCUUGCAACUGUGGCUGAGAUAACAUUGGACAGGAAAUCUGUCCUUUCACCCACAAUAGUAAUCUCAUUACCCUCAGAAGUUUUCAGAGAAAUCCUCUUCAAUUUGCAAUCAACUAUUACCUGAUGACGUGACAACCAGUCCA